AAGAAUAAGCACCGGCUAACUACGUGCCAGCAGCCGCGGUAAUACGUAGGGUGCAAGCGUUAAUCGGAAUUACUGGGCGUAAAGCGUGCGCAGGCGGCUUUGCAAGACAGAUGUGAAAUCCCCGGGCUCAACCUGGGAACUGCAUUUGUGACUGCAAGGCUGGAGUGCGGCAGAGGGGGAUGGAAUUCCGCGUGUAGCAGUGAAAUGCGUAGAUAUGCGGAGGAACACCGAUGGCGAAGGCAAUCCCCUGGGCCUGCACUGACGCUCAUGCACGAAAGCGUGGGGAGCAAACAGGAUUAGAUACCCUGGUAGUCCACGCCCUAAACGAUGUCAAC
RNAcentral lists this ribosomal RNA (335 nucleotides) under bacterium enrichment culture DGGE band TBA-5. Its description in RNAcentral is "bacterial SSU rRNA". It matches the Rfam family "Bacterial small subunit ribosomal RNA", at positions 482 to 816 of the family's 1533-position model. The record is from RNAcentral.